CAGCUCUUUGUGGUCGCUUUGUCUCUCUCUGUACUGAUUUUGUGUCUCUUUUUUUUUUGUCGUUUUACGUUUGAAAUCUCUUUCAGAACAAUGUACACCUCUUUGUGGAUGUUUUGCCUCUCCAUGUUGGUGGUUUAGCAUCUCUUGAAUCUCUUUGUAGAUGUUUUACAUCCGUUUAUGGCAUCUAUUGCAUCUGCAUUUUUUUUUAUUGUUGAUGGUUUUACAUUGUUUUAUAAGUUUUUGUAGUCGCUUUGCAUCUCUUUUUGGUCAUUAUAUAGUAUUUUGCAGGUGAAGACCAGGUGCCUCGUGACUCCUCGCACCCCUGGGCCUGUGCCCGGUAGACCUGUUCGGUAAUCCAUCCAUGAUGACACACUUAAUCGACGCAGCCUCUGAACACAGAUGUUUCCUGUCAAUUUAGGACCUGCUCCAACUCUGACCCAAGGAUUUACGCGACUGUCCGUGGAGAUCAUCACUGCUUUACUUCACCAAGAGAGCCCUCUAUAUGUCUGGCUUGUGGUAUCCUUUGGUCAUCGAGGUGGAACUAUGCAGUGCCCAG
Molecule: long non-coding RNA, 556 nt
Organism: Seriola aureovittata
Lineage: Eukaryota; Metazoa; Chordata; Actinopteri; Carangiformes; Carangidae
Exons: 3
Source: RefSeq, a predicted model, not a curated record